CCUACGGGUGGCAGCAGUGGGGAAUAUUGGACAAUGGGGGCAACCCUGAUCCAGCCAUGCCGCGUGUGUGAAGAAGGCCCUCGGGUUGUAAAGCACUUUCAGUGAGGAAGAACGCCUGGUGGUUAAUACCCAUCAGGAAAGACAUCACUCACAGAAGAAGCACCGGCUAACUCCGUGCCAGCAGCCGCGGUAAUACGGAGGGUGCGAGCGUUAAUCGGAAUUACUGGGCGUAAAGCGCGCGUAGGUGGCUUGAUAAGCCGGUUGUGAAAGCCCCGGGCUCAACCUGGGAACGGCAUCCGGAACUGUCAAGCUAGAGUGAAGGAGAGGAAGGUAGAAUUCGCGGUGUAGCGGUGAAAUGCGUAGAGAUCGGGAGGAAUACCAGUGGCGAAGGCGGCCUUCUGGACUGACACUGACACUGAGGUGCGAAAGCGUGGGUAGCAAACAGGAUUAGAUACCCCAGUAGUC
This 465-nucleotide ribosomal RNA is filed under the name Vreelandella stevensii. Its description in RNAcentral is "partial 16S ribosomal RNA". It matches the Rfam family "Bacterial small subunit ribosomal RNA", at positions 338 to 795 of the family's 1533-position model. The record is from RNAcentral. Lineage: Bacteria; Pseudomonadati; Pseudomonadota; Gammaproteobacteria; Oceanospirillales; Halomonadaceae.